Molecule: long non-coding RNA, 431 nt
Filed under: Monodelphis domestica (gray short-tailed opossum)
Lineage: Eukaryota; Metazoa; Chordata; Mammalia; Didelphimorphia; Didelphidae
Description: lncRNA (ENSMODG00000034204.2)
Source: RNAcentral
UGUCAGGGAAGGUUGGCUGAAUGGUUUGUAGACUGUACGUGUGUGCAUACGUGUGUGUGUGUGUGUGUGUGUGUGUGUGUUAAAGAUCAGCUAUUCUGAAGUCUCUUUCCAAAGCUUAGCUAGACUCUAAAGCAGAAGACUGGAUGGCUUGUACUGCCAUUGUGGGAGGGAAGAAGCAGCUUGCCAUGCAUGGAAAGGAAAAGGACUCUCUUGUUAAGGCAACAAUUACUGCCGGUGGUGUGAUCUCACAAAUCCACAAAUUUCUGAUUGGAAAGAAAAGACAGCAGUAGACUGAGGGAUAGCUGAAUUCUAUGUGAUUUCAAGAAUUUAAAUAUUCUGCCAACCUGCAUUGUUGAUUUCCAGUGAACUGCAUCUCUGUGAAAAAAAAAACAAAACAAACCACUACAAACAAUUGUAUAUUUUGAUGAUCC